RNAcentral lists this transfer RNA (75 nucleotides) under Candidatus Hydrogenedentota bacterium. RNAcentral describes it as "tRNA-Arg". It matches the Rfam family "tRNA". From Rfam's summary of the family: Transfer RNA (tRNA) molecules are approximately 80 nucleotides in length. Their secondary structure includes four short double-helical elements and three loops (D, anti-codon, and T loops). Lineage: Bacteria; Pseudomonadati; Candidatus Hydrogenedentota. The record is from RNAcentral.
GCCCCGAUAGUUCAAUGGAUAGAACAAGGCCCUCCUAAGGCUUAGAUCUGGGUUCGAUUCCCGGUCGGGGCACCA